Sander lucioperca (pikeperch) is the source of this 236-nucleotide long non-coding RNA. RefSeq lists it as uncharacterized. NCBI's taxonomy places the organism in Eukaryota, Metazoa, Chordata, Actinopteri, Perciformes, Percidae. The transcript is spliced from 3 exons. The record is from RefSeq and is a predicted model, not a curated record.
ACUGGAGACUCUCAGUCUGUCAGGCUGUCUGAUCUCAGAGGAAGGCUGUUCUUCUUUGGUCUCAGCUCUGAGUUCCAACCCCUCCCAUCUGAGAGUGCUGGACCUGAGCUACAAUCAUCCAGGAGACUCAGGAGUGAAGCUACUCUCAGCAGGACUGAAGGAUCCUCUCUGGAAACUGGACACUCUCAGGGUGGAGCCUGCUGGAGUCAGAUGGUUGACACCAGGUCUGAGGAAGU